UACGAAGGUGGCAAGCGUUGUUCGGAUUUACUGGGCGUACAGGGAGCGUAGGCGGUUGGAUAAGCCCUCCGUGAAAUCUCCAGGCUUAACCUGGAAAGUGCGGAGGGGACUGUUCAGCUAGAGGAUGGGAGAGGAGCGCGGAAUUCCCGGUGUAGCGGUGAAAUGCGUAGAGAUCGGGAGGAAGGCCGGUGGCGAAGGCGGCUCGCUGGGCCGGUCCUGACGCUGAAACGCGAAGGCGUGGGGAGCGAACGGG
Molecule: ribosomal RNA, 253 nt
Filed under: uncultured bacterium
Lineage: Bacteria
Description: partial 16S ribosomal RNA
Rfam family: Bacterial small subunit ribosomal RNA
Source: RNAcentral